RNAcentral lists this ribosomal RNA (253 nucleotides) under uncultured bacterium. RNAcentral describes it as "partial 16S ribosomal RNA". It matches the Rfam family "Bacterial small subunit ribosomal RNA", at positions 524 to 776 of the family's 1533-position model. The record is from RNAcentral.
UACGAAGGGGGCUAGCGUUGCUCGGAAUUACUGGGCGUAAAGCGCACGUAGGCGGCUUUCUAAGUCGGGGGUGAAAUCCUGGAGCUCAACUCCAGAACUGCCUUUGAUACUGAAGAUCUUGAGUUCGGGAGAGGUGAGUGGAACUGCGAGUGUAGAGGUGAAAUUCGUAGAUAUUCGCAAGAACACCAGUGGCGAAGGCGGCUCACUGGCACGAUACUGACGCUGAGGCACGAAAGCGUGGGGAGCAAACAGG